Molecule: ribosomal RNA, 415 nt
Filed under: uncultured bacterium
Lineage: Bacteria
Description: bacterial SSU rRNA
Rfam family: Bacterial small subunit ribosomal RNA
Source: RNAcentral
UAGUGGCGGACGGGUGAGUAACGCGUGAGUAACCUGCCUUACACAAGGGGAUAGCCGUGGAAACGACGAAUAAUACCCUAUGACAUAAAACUCUUCGCAUGAGGAGCUUAUCAAAGAUUUAUCGGUGUAAGAUGGACUCGCGUCUGAUUAGCUAGUUGGUGAGGUAACGGCCCCACCCAAGGCAACGAUCAGUAGCCGGCUUGAGAGAGUGUACGGCCACAUUGGGACUGAGACACGGCCCAGACUCCUACGGGAGGCAGCAGUGGGGAAUUUUGCACAAUGGGGGAAACCCUGAUGCAGCGACGCCGCGUGAUUUAGAAGGCCUUCGGGUUGUAAAAAUCUUUUGUAUGGGGAAGAAAAUGACAGUACCAUACGAAUAAGGACCGGCUAAUUACGUGCCAGCAGCCGCGGUAAU